This 301-nucleotide ribosomal RNA is filed under the name uncultured bacterium. RNAcentral's name for it is "partial 16S ribosomal RNA". It matches the Rfam family "Bacterial small subunit ribosomal RNA", at positions 509 to 807 of the family's 1533-position model. The record is from RNAcentral.
CAGUAGCCGCGGGAAUACGGAGGGUGCAAGCGUUAAUCGGAAUUACUGGGCGUAAAGCGCACGCAGGCGGUUUGUUAAGUCAGAUGUGAAAUCCCCGGGCUCAACCUGGGAACUGCAUCUGAUACUGGCAAGCUUGAGUCUCGUAGAGGGGGGUAGAAUUCCAGGUGUAGCGGUGAAAUGCGUAGAGAUCUGGAGGAAUACCGGUGGCGAAGGCGGCCCCCUGGACGAAGACUGACGCUCAGGUGCGAAAGCGUGGGGAGCAAACAGGAUUAGAUACCCCAGUAGUCCCUGUCUCUUAUAC